Long non-coding RNA from Vidua chalybeata, 538 nucleotides. RefSeq lists it as uncharacterized. NCBI's taxonomy places the organism in Eukaryota, Metazoa, Chordata, Aves, Passeriformes, Viduidae. The record is from RefSeq and is a predicted model, not a curated record. The transcript is spliced from 4 exons.
UCUGGCUGUUCUCCUCCUGGAACUGUUCAUCUCAACACUACAGCAGCAGAGAUCCAUAGGUGCUGUGGAUUUGCUAUCAUGCCACUGCUACCCCAGCACAGAAGAACACGCUGAGGCUUCCAACAGCAUGCGAAGAAAACAUACCCACGAUGGAAAACGCAACAGAGAAUUUGUCUUUGACACUGUCACUCAUACCUGGCAAGACAAGUGUGUUCAUAAAAGCAGGUGAGGCUACACCAUUGACCCCCUCAGAGAGUCAUGGCUGCUCAGCAGAACAGACCUUGGAAAAGCUGGGCAAGGACAGGUCCAUCAAAUCUGCUACACAAAGGUGACACUCCAGAGUUCAGAGAAGGGGUCAAACAAGGAGAGCUUCCAGGUCCACUGCAGGUUUGUGGCUGGUGAAGAAUACCCCUCUCUCUCUCUCUCACCAUUCUCAAAUUCUGAUUUCAUUUUCUGAAUACACACAAAUUAUGCUAAAUUAAAACAUGAAAGAUGCUGUGACAGGUUUCAUAAUAAACAGGCUCACUGCUUCUCCCCA